RNAcentral lists this transfer RNA (58 nucleotides) under Tetrameres grusi. RNAcentral's name for it is "tRNA-Cys". Lineage: Eukaryota; Metazoa; Nematoda; Chromadorea; Rhabditida; Tetrameridae. The record is from RNAcentral.
GAACCUUUAGUAUAAGUUUUUUAAUACGGGUAAUUGCAAAUUACUAGAUUUUGGUUUU